AACGCACAUUGCGCCCCUUGGUAUUCCGGGGGGCAUGCCUGUUUGAGCGUCAUUUCUCUCUCAAACCCUUGGGUUUGGUAUUGAGUGAUACUCUUAGUCGGACUAGGCGUUUGCUUGAAAUGUAACGGCAGGAGUGGUACUGGAUAGUGCGACUGAUUAUUCAAUGUAUUAGGUUUAUCCAACUCGUUGAACGGUCUGGCGUAAGUUUCUGGUGUCUUUGGCUCGGCCUACAACAACAAACAAGUUUGACCUCAAAUCAGGUAGGAUUACCCGCUGAACUUAA
Molecule: unclassified non-coding RNA, 283 nt
Filed under: uncultured Saccharomycetales
Lineage: Eukaryota; Fungi; Ascomycota; Saccharomycetes
Description: sequence contains 5.8S rRNA gene, ITS2, 28S rRNA gene
Rfam family: 5.8S ribosomal RNA (bases 1-52)
Source: RNAcentral